UCCAGACUCCUACGGGAGGCAGCAGUAGGGAAUCUUCGGCAAUGGACGGAAGUCUGACCGAGCAACGCCGCGUGAGUGAAGAAGGUUUUCGGAUCGUAAAACUCUGUUGGUAGAGAAGAACGUUGGUGAGAGUGGAAAGCUCAUCAAGUGACGGUAACUACCCAGAAAGGGACGACUAACUACGUGCCAGCAGCCGCGGUAAUACGUAGGUCCCGAGCGUUGUCCGGAUUUAUUGGGCGUAAAGCGAGCGCAGGUGGUUUAUUAAGUCUGGUGUAAAAGGCAGUGGCUCAACCAUUGUAUGCAUUGGAAACUGGUAGACUUGAGUGCUGGAGAGGAGAGUGGAAUUCCAUGUGUAGCGGUGAAAUGCGUAGAUAUAAGGAAGAACACCAGUGGCGAAGGCGGAUUACUGGACGAUAACUGACGGUGAGGCGCGAAAGCGUGGGGAGCAAACAGGAUUAGAUACCCCUGUA
RNAcentral lists this ribosomal RNA (470 nucleotides) under uncultured bacterium. RNAcentral's name for it is "bacterial SSU rRNA". It matches the Rfam family "Bacterial small subunit ribosomal RNA", at positions 330 to 792 of the family's 1533-position model. The record is from RNAcentral.